UCAUGGCCCUUACGACCAGGGCUACACACGUGCUACAAUGGCGCAUACAAAGAGAAGCGACCUCGCGAGAGCAAGCGGACCUCAUAAAGUGCGUCGUAGUCCGGAUUGGAGUCUGCAACUCGACUCCAUGAAGUCGGAAUCGCUAGUAAUCGUGGAUCAGAAUGCCACGGUGAAUACGUUCCCGGGCCUUGUACACACCGCCCGUCACACCAUGGGAGUGGGUUGCAAAAGAAGUAGGUAGCUUAACCUUCGGGAGGGCGCUUACCACUUUGUGAUUCAUGACUGGGGUGAAGUCGUAACAAGGUAACCGUAGGGGAACCUGCGGU
Molecule: ribosomal RNA, 326 nt
Filed under: uncultured bacterium
Lineage: Bacteria
Description: bacterial SSU rRNA
Rfam family: Bacterial small subunit ribosomal RNA
Source: RNAcentral